GAUGAACGCUGGCGGCGUGCCUAACACAUGCAAGUCGAGCGAUCUUCUUCGGAAGAGAGCGGCGGACGGGUGAGUAACGCGUGGGUAACCUGCCCUGUACACACGGAUAACAUACCGAAAGGUAUGCUAAUACGGGAUAACAUAAGAAAGUCGCAUGGAUUUCCUAUCAAAGCUUUUGCGGUACAGGAUGGACCCGCGUCUGAUUAGCUAGUUGGUAAGGUAACGGCUUACCAAGGCGACGAUCAGUAGCCGACCUGAGAGGGUGAUCGGCCACAUUGGAACUGAGACACGGUCCAAACUCCUACGGGAGGCAGCAGUGGGGAAUAUUGCACAAUGGGCGAAAGCCUGAUGCAGCAACGCCGCGUGAGCGAUGAAGGCCUUCGGGUCGUAAAGCUCUGUCCUCAAGGAAGAUAAUGACGGUACUUGAGGAGGAAGCCCCGGCUAACUACGUGCCAGCAGCCGCGGUAAUACGUAGGGGGCUAGCGUUAUCCGGAAUUACUGGGCGUAAAGGGUGCGUAGGCGGUCUUUCAAGUCAGAAGUGAAAGGCUACGGCUCAACCGUAGUAAGCUUUUGAAACUGUAAGACUUGAGUGCAGGAGAGGAGAGUGGAAUUCCUAGUGUAGCGGUGAAAUGCGUAGAUAUUAGGAGGAACACCAGUUGCGAAGGCGGCUCUCUGGA
Molecule: ribosomal RNA, 677 nt
Filed under: uncultured Clostridium sp.
Lineage: Bacteria; Bacillati; Bacillota; Clostridia; Eubacteriales; Clostridiaceae
Description: bacterial SSU rRNA
Rfam family: Bacterial small subunit ribosomal RNA
Source: RNAcentral